RNAcentral lists this transfer RNA (69 nucleotides) under Pristimantis altamazonicus (Amazon robber frog). Its description in RNAcentral is "tRNA-Trp". The record is from RNAcentral. Lineage: Eukaryota; Metazoa; Chordata; Amphibia; Anura; Strabomantidae.
CAGAAACUAGGAGAUUCUAACUCCUGCUUAGGACUUUGAAGGUCCUUGGUCUUAUUAUCCUAAGUUUCU